GGGCGGUCGAGCGUGACGGUCAUGUGCGGCUCCUUCAGUGAGCGGAGGUGACGUUCGGGUUCGAUCCCGUACUGCCCACC
Molecule: transfer RNA, 80 nt
Filed under: Streptomyces spongiicola
Lineage: Bacteria; Bacillati; Actinomycetota; Actinomycetes; Kitasatosporales; Streptomycetaceae
Description: tRNA-Sec
Source: RNAcentral